Molecule: ribosomal RNA, 164 nt
Filed under: Elymus burchan-buddae
Lineage: Eukaryota; Viridiplantae; Streptophyta; Magnoliopsida; Poales; Poaceae
Description: 5.8S ribosomal RNA
Rfam family: 5.8S ribosomal RNA
About the family: 5.8S ribosomal RNA (5.8S rRNA) is a component of the large subunit of the eukaryotic ribosome.
Source: RNAcentral
CACACGACUCUCGGCAACGGAUAUCUCGGCUCUCGCAUCGAUGAAGAACGUAGCGAAAUGCGAUACCUGGUGUGAAUUGCAGAAUCCCGCAAACCAUCGAGUCUUUGAACGCAAGUUGCGCCCGAGGCCAUUCGGCCGAGGGCACGCCUGCCUGGGCGUCACGC